This 492-nucleotide ribosomal RNA is filed under the name uncultured bacterium. RNAcentral describes it as "partial 16S ribosomal RNA". It matches the Rfam family "Bacterial small subunit ribosomal RNA", at positions 29 to 507 of the family's 1533-position model. The record is from RNAcentral.
AGCGAACGCUGGCGGUAGGCCUAACACAUGCAAGUCGAACGGCAGCACAGUAAGAGCUUGCUCUUACGGGUGGCGAGUGGCGGACGGGUGAGGAAUACAUCGGAAUCUACUUUUUCGUGGGGGAUAACGUAGGGAAACUUACGCUAAUACCGCAUACGACCUACGGGUGAAAGCAGGGGAUCUUCGGACCUUGCGCGAUUGAAUGAGCCGAUGUCGGAUUAGCUAGUUGGCGGGGUAAAGGCCCACCAAGGCGACGAUCCGUAGCUGGUCUGAGAGGAUGAUCAGCCACACUGGAACUGAGACACGGUCCAGACUCCUACGGGAGGCAGCAGUGGGGAAUAUUGGACAAAGGGCGCAAGCCUGAUCCAGCCAUACCGCGUGGGUGAAGAAGGCCUUCGGGUUGUAAAGCCCUUUUGUUGGGAAAGAAAAGCAGCAGGUUAAUACCCCGCUGUCCUGACGGUACCCAAAGAAUAAGCUCCGGCUAACUUCGUG